UCCGGUUUGGCACCGGCAGUCACUUACAUGUCAAACCCAGGUAAGGUUCUUCGCGUUGCGUCGAAUUAAGCAACAUGCUCCGCCGCUUGUGCGGGCCCCCGUCAAUUCCUUUGAGUUUUAGCCUUGCGGCCGUACUCCCCAGGCGGGGCGCUUAAUGCGUUAGCUGCGGCACGGAAGGAGUCGAUGACCUCCCACACCUAGCGCCCAUCGUUUACGGCGUGGACUAC
RNAcentral lists this unclassified non-coding RNA (227 nucleotides) under uncultured Actinomycetes bacterium. Its description in RNAcentral is "uncultured actinobacterium contains 16S-23S intergenic spacer region". The record is from RNAcentral. Lineage: Bacteria; Bacillati; Actinomycetota; Actinomycetes.